Molecule: ribosomal RNA, 468 nt
Filed under: uncultured bacterium
Lineage: Bacteria
Description: partial 16S ribosomal RNA
Rfam family: Bacterial small subunit ribosomal RNA
Source: RNAcentral
GACGAACGCUGGCGGCGUGCUUAACACAUGCAAGUCGAACGGAAAGGCCCUGCUUUUGUGGGGUGCUCGAGUGGCGAACGGGUGAGUAACACGUGAGUAACCUGCCCUUGACUUUGGGAUAACUUCAGGAAACUGGGGCUAAUACCGGAUAGGAGCUCCUGCUGCAUGGUGGGGGUUGGAAAGUUUCGGCGGUUGGGGAUGGACUCGCGGCUUAUCAGCUUGUUGGUGGGGUAGUGGCUUACCAAGGCUUUGACGGGUAGCCGGCCUGAGAGGGUGACCGGCCACAUUAGGACUGAGAUACGGCCCGGACUCCUACGGGAGGCAGCAGUGGGGAAUAGUGCACAAUGGGCGGAAGCCUGAUGCAGCAACGCCGCGUGCGGGGUGACGGCCUUGGGGUUGUGAACCGCUGUCGCCUGUGACGAGGCGAGAGUGACGGUAAUGGGUAAAGAAGCACCGGCUAACUACGUG